GCUGGCGGCGUGCCUAACACAUGCAAGUUCAACGCGAAAGUCCCGCAAGGGAUGAGUAGAGUGGCAGACGGGUGAGUAAUGCAUAGGUAAUCUACCCUUGAGUGGGGGAUAACUCCGGGAAACCGGUGCUAAUCCCGCAUAACGUCCUGAUGCAUAAGUAUCUGGACCAAAGGGGGGGAUCCUUCGGGACCUCUUGCUUGAGGAUGAGCCUAUGUCCUAUUAGCUAGUUGGUGAGGUAAUGGCCCACCAAGGCUAUGAUGGGUAGCCGAGCUGAGAGGCUGAUCGGCCACACUGGAACUGAAACACGGUCCAGACUCCUACGGGAGGCAGCAGUGGGGAAUUUUGCGCAAUGGGCGAAAGCCUGACGCAGCGACGCCGCGUGAGGGAUGAAGGUUCUCGGAUCGUAAACCUCUGUCAGGAAGGAUUAAAUGUGCGGAUGUGAAUAUCAUCCGUACUUGACUUAACUUCCAAAGGAAGCCCCGGCUAACUACGUGCCAGCAGCCGCGGUAAUACGUAGGGGGCAAGCGUUACUCGGAUUUACUGGGCCUAAAGAGAAUUAAGGCGGUCAUGUAAGUCAGUGGUGAAAUCCCUCGGCUCAACUGAGGAAUUGCCUUUGAUACUGCGUGACUUGAGGACAGGAGAGGAAGGCGGAAUUCCCGGUGUAGCGGUGGAAUGCGUAGAUAUCGGGAGGAACACUUGAGGCGAAAGGCCGCUUCUCUGGACUGGUCCUUGACCCCUGAUAUUCGAAAGCUAGGGGAGCCAACCGGAUUAGAUACCCCCUGGUAGUUCCUAGCUGUAAACCGAUGGGAUACCUAGA
This 817-nucleotide ribosomal RNA is filed under the name uncultured bacterium. RNAcentral's name for it is "bacterial SSU rRNA". It matches the Rfam family "Bacterial small subunit ribosomal RNA", at positions 35 to 820 of the family's 1533-position model. The record is from RNAcentral.